AACGAACGCUGGCGGCAGGCCUAACACAUGCCAGUCGAGCGCACUGUCGGGGGAGCGGCGGACGGGUGAGUAACGCGUGGGAAUAUGCCCUUCUCUACGGAAUAGCCCCGGGAAACUGAGAGUAAUACCGUAUACGCCCUCUGGGGGAAAGAGUUAUCGGGGAAGGAUUAGCCCGCGAUGGAUUAGGUAGUUGGUGGGGUAAUGGCCUACCAAGCCGACGAUCCAUAGCUGGUUUGAGAGGAUGAUCAGCCACACUGGGACUGAGACACGGCCCAGACUCCUACGGGAGGCAGCAGUGGGGAAUCUUAGACAAUGGGGGCAACCCUGAUCUAGCCAUGCCGCGUGAGUGAUGAAGGCCUUAGGGUUGUAAAGCUCUUUCAGCUGGGAAGAUAAUGACGGUACCAGCAGAAGAAGCCCCGGCUAACUCCGUG
Molecule: ribosomal RNA, 431 nt
Filed under: uncultured bacterium
Lineage: Bacteria
Description: partial 16S ribosomal RNA
Rfam family: Bacterial small subunit ribosomal RNA
Source: RNAcentral